This 251-nucleotide ribosomal RNA is filed under the name uncultured prokaryote. RNAcentral's name for it is "partial 16S rRNA". It matches the Rfam family "Bacterial small subunit ribosomal RNA", at positions 525 to 775 of the family's 1533-position model. The record is from RNAcentral.
ACGUAGGGGGCGAGCGUUGUCCGGAAUUACUGGGCGUAAAGAGCGUGUAGGCGGGUAGACAAGUCAGAUGUGAAAGACCGCAGCUUAACUGCGGGGUUGCAUCUGAAACUGACUAUCUUGAGGGCAGGAGAGGACAGUGGAAUUCCUGGUGUAGCGGUGAAAUGCGUAGAAAUCAGGAGGAAUACCAGUGGCGAAGGCGACUGUCUGGACUGACCCUGACGCUGAGGCGCGAAAGCGUGGGGAGCAAACAG